Long non-coding RNA from Carassius auratus (goldfish), 1037 nucleotides. RefSeq lists it as uncharacterized. The transcript has 3 exons. The record is from RefSeq and is a predicted model, not a curated record. Lineage: Eukaryota; Metazoa; Chordata; Actinopteri; Cypriniformes; Cyprinidae.
GCACCCAUUCACUACAGAGGAUCCAUUGGUGAGCAAGUGAUGUAAUGCUAAAUUUCUCAAAAUCUGUUCCGAUGAACAAACAAAUGAUCUAACAAUCACCUAUCUUAGGCCUGAAGGCAGUAUCAUUGGGAUGGUUGGAGGCUGCUGCUCAGUCUGUUUUGUUUCGGCAUCUUUUUCCCUUGUGCAAAUAGCAUCGUAAGCUCCUUCCUUCCAUUCAUCAAUCCAUCCAUAAGUCCACCCACAUGAAUAAAUGCCCAGUUCUGUACAUGUUCUUCCACUUAACUUUACUAACACCGUACCAGCCGCCUCUGAGAACAUCACAGCCAUGCCUGCCAUCAUAGAUACUGCCAUGUGACUUGUAGAUCAGUACCAGCAUGCACUGUAUAGUAUAUGCUUAGGGAAAUAUUAAAUGCUUAUCCUCAUCUUCCAGCAAACCUGUAGGGCUGAAUGGGUUAUAUUCUCUGUACAGCUCCUCCGGAGCACACGGUAAGAUGGUCCUAUGGCUUUAAUUACAGUAAAAUGCAUUGUUGCUUUAGCUGAUUUUACUGUAGUAAACCUGCUUCUAACAGCUCGAUGGUCAUAAAGAAAUUAUUGGAAAUGUAAAGGAGGAUGCUAGAACAGAGGAAGAGUGCCAGUGUCACAUCCAGUGUUUCAUGUGGAGCAUAUAGAAAUAAAAUUAGAAAGGGUUGCCCUGCAAACUGAGUAUUUUAAAUAUGAUGUAUGCUGAUGAUGUCAGUAUUACAGAGAUGUGUUCCUGUAAUAAUUUUACCAAGGUGUUCAUUUUUGUAAUAGACUGUAUGCUUCUGUCACAGUUGUAUUGUUUUGUAUGAGUAGCUGCUGUACAUAAAGACCAAAGAAAACUAUUUUUACAACAUGUGCUAAAAUGUUAACGUCGAAUAUAAAGGACAAAUCCAAAUGACAAAAGAGAAUGUUCAGCAAAUCAGUUUUUCUAAUAAAAGCAGGUGAGCAUCAUGUGUUACUGCUGUUGUAGCCCUCGUGGGUGAACCUCACAAGUCUGGCUCAUAUUUCACCCCAGA